CUACGUGCCAGCAGCCGCGGUAAUACGUAGGUGGCAAGCGUUGUCCGGAAUUAUUGGGCGUAAAGCGCGCGCAGGCGGAUUGGUCAGUCUGUCUUAAAAGUUCGGGGCUUAACCCCGUGAUGGGAUGGAAACUGCCAAUCUAGAGUAUCGGAGAGGAAAGUGGAAUUCCUAGCGUAGCGGUGAAAUGCGUAGAUAUUAGGAAGAACACCAGUGGCGAAGGCGACUUUCUGGACGAAAACUGACGCUGAGGCGCGAAAGCCAGGGGAGCGAACGGGAUUAGAUACCCCGGUAGUCCUGGCCGUAAACGAUGGGUACUAGGUGUAGGAGGUAUCGACCCCUUCUGUGCCGGAGUUAACGCAAUAAGUACCCCGCCUGGGGAGUACGACCGCAAGGUUGAAACUCAAAGGAAUUGACGGGGGCCCGCACAAGCGGUGGAGUAUGUGGUUUAAUUCGACGCAACGCGAAGAACCUUACCAGGUCUUGACAU
Molecule: ribosomal RNA, 487 nt
Filed under: uncultured bacterium
Lineage: Bacteria
Description: bacterial SSU rRNA
Rfam family: Bacterial small subunit ribosomal RNA
Source: RNAcentral